RNAcentral lists this long non-coding RNA (871 nucleotides) under Piliocolobus tephrosceles (Ugandan red Colobus). RNAcentral describes it as "lncRNA (ENSPTEG00000021379.1)". The record is from RNAcentral. Lineage: Eukaryota; Metazoa; Chordata; Mammalia; Primates; Cercopithecidae.
GCCCCCCGCGCUUCCGGAUCCGGGUUGUUGCGGGAUCUCACGGGCUUUAAACUGCGGCGCCGCAGCACCCGGGUGCGGAUCUCUAGAUGGGAGCCGGGGAUGGGCCGGUUGCCCGGCGGGUGGCAGUCGGAGCUGGCGGCGGCGGCAGCACGUUGCCGCCUCGGGCCCCGGAAACCUUCACCCCGCCGCCUACCCAGGCGGGCCGGCCCUGCCCGUCCACCGGCCGCCGAGAGUCCCCGGCCUUGGGCCCCCGGGGCCGCUGACUGGCCUCGGUCACCUCUCGGGGAAGACUCCCGCGUCUCCGUCUGCCCCCGCAGGAAGGGACCCUCUUCUCGCCCGCGAGGCUUCUCCAGGGCGGUGAGCGCAGAUCCCACGGGUCCCUCGGUCGGGGGUCAAGGCUGCCUCCGUUUCCAUCCCGGACCCGACAAUGGGCCGGAAAAAGAAGGCUUUACACGACUGCGCGGCGGAGUUCACCGACCUGGUGGUGAAGCAGCACCUGAUUGAGCACAGUGGGUCUGGGGACACGUCUGCGGUGGAGACCCUUUACUGCAGGGCCUGCGAGCUGCCUAUGCGCGUGCGGAGGGACCGCAUCCUGGAGCACCGAGGGAGCACCUGUCCUCGGGCAGGCACUACAGGAACCGCAGACUCAUCGGCAGCACGGCCUGCGGACGCCCAUUCUCAUCUCAGCCGCCUCGGAUCUCACUGCCACCGGCCUUCCCGCACACCCUUGCCACCUGCCUUUGCCCCAUCAGCCUCAGCCUCAGCUCAUUCUCUCAGGCAGUCCCAGCAUUGGCACGGUACCUCCUCCCGCCGUGGGCCGCACGUCUCUGCUCCCUGUCAACCCUACUGCCAUCAGCAUCACCACAAGUGA